This 301-nucleotide ribosomal RNA is filed under the name uncultured bacterium. RNAcentral describes it as "partial 16S ribosomal RNA". It matches the Rfam family "Bacterial small subunit ribosomal RNA", at positions 509 to 807 of the family's 1533-position model. The record is from RNAcentral.
CAGCAGCCGCGGUAAUACGAAGGGGGCUAGCGUUGUUCGGAAUCACUGGGCGUAAAGGGUGCGUAGGCGGGCAUUUAAGUCAGGGGUGAAAUCCCGAGGCUCAACCUCGGAACUGCCCUUGAUACUGGAUGUCUUGAGUCCGGAAGAGGUGAGUGGAACUGCGAGUGUAGAGGUGAAAUUCGUAGAUAUUCGGAGGAACACCAGUGGCGAAGGCGGCUCACUGGCUCGAUACUGACGCUGAGGUGCGAAAGCGUGGGGAGCAAACAGGAUUAGAUACCCCUGUAGUCCCUGUCUCUUAUAC